Long non-coding RNA from Anoplophora glabripennis (Asian longhorned beetle), 1241 nucleotides. RefSeq lists it as uncharacterized. The transcript has 2 exons. Lineage: Eukaryota; Metazoa; Arthropoda; Insecta; Coleoptera; Cerambycidae. The record is from RefSeq and is a predicted model, not a curated record.
UUUAAUUUUGCGGUAGCGUAAAUCAUCACAAUAGCGUUUAAUCGCAUUGUAUCGCCUUCUUUGGUUACCUCGCUACCUUUGGUUCCUCGCGCUUGCCGCGGUCGAAUUCCGGCCACCCGUAUGCUUAGUCCGUUUUCAAUUCGCGACAGUGGUACCACGGCCACUGAAAGGAAUUUCUCCGUCGCGCGGUGUUCGUUCCCUCCCCCUACCAAUUUCUGGUUUCCGUUCUGAUUCUCGCUGUGACUGUCAAAGGCGAAAUGGCUGCAUGUUCUUUGAUGGAAAAUUUGUGCAUUAUUUGAAGCAUCCGCAAGGGAUACUUUUUCAUCGAGGCUCUAAAUAAUUCUCUAGUGUAGUGUGGUUGUCUGGAUACCGUAUUUUCUCGUUUGAUGGAGAAUUAAACUAUUUUGGGAAAUAGACAGCACAUUUCGACUUUACGAGCUGAAGGUACAGAAGUUGAGCCCGUUUUAUUAAUCGAAGCUAUCAGUUUCCGUCAGUAGAAGGCCCUCGUCGAGAGUGGAGGUUCGACCUCCCUUCUGUGGAAAAAAACCCUUAGUAAAAAGGGUUUUUUUUUCUGCUUCCUCUUUCAUCACCUCCGUCCUUGGGAUGUUUAUUUUCUGCUUCCCCACGUCGACUGUGACGAGUUUGAUUGUUGUUGGCGAAACCCCUGCUUGGUGAACUAUCACCCAUACGCCCCAUGUGGUUUGGUGGACCUUGGCGCGGACGUCCUUCGAUUUAGACAGCUAGAACUUCACCCCUCGAUCCCGAGACAGGGCGACCCUGUACCAGUAACACCCCAGCAGUCAUACCGAGUGAAAAAACUGAUAAGUAUAGCGAGUAGUUAAGGUUUUGUUGGCAACGUCUUGUUAAUGUACUGUUUGUUCCUUUAUAUACCUAAUUUGUCAUUAUUUACAUAUACGGAGUGUCUACCUUGCGAGACCCUCUCGUUAGUUAUUGUUUGUGCCAUUAGAUACAUUAUUUGUCAUUAUUUACAUUUACAGAGUGUCUACCUUGCGAGACCCUCUUGUUAAUUACUGUUUGCGACAUUAUAUACACCAUUUGUCAUUAUUUACAUAUACAGAGUGUCUACCUUGCGAGACUCUCUUGUUAAUUACUGUUUGUGACAUUAUAUACAUCAUUUGUCAUUAUUCACACCUACAGAGUGUCUACCUUACGAGGCCAUUCCGCUAAUUAACCGUAGUAUAUUCUAUUUAUUAUUCACUAAUAAAUUGUUUGUUGGGGAA